GAUGAACGCUGGCGGCGUGCUUAACACAUGCAAGUCGAGCGAACAGACGCGGCGUUUGCUCUACUGACGUUACCGACGGACGGGUGAGUAACACGUGGAUAACCUACCUCUACGACUGAGAUCACUUCGGCUAACCCUAGUUCAUACCAGAUACUAUAUUUAGCCUCAUGGUUGAAUAGUGUUUUCCGUUUUUGCUGUCCCCUCUACAUAUCUCCGCGCCGCAUUAGCAAGUUGGUAGGAUAACGGCUUCCCAAGGCGACGAUGCGUAGCCGACCUGAGAGGGGGAUGGGCCACACUGGAACUGAGACGCGGUCCAGGCUCCGACGGGAGGCAGAAGUAGGGAAUGUUCCGCAAUGGGCGAAAGCCUGACGGAGCAGCGCCGCGUGAGUGAUGAAGGUCUGCGGAUCGUAAAACGCUCUUAUUAGGGAAGAACAAAUGUGUAAGUAACUAAGCACGUCGUGACGGUACCUAAUCAGAAAGCCACGGCUAACUACGUG
RNAcentral lists this ribosomal RNA (497 nucleotides) under uncultured bacterium. RNAcentral describes it as "partial 16S ribosomal RNA". It matches the Rfam family "Bacterial small subunit ribosomal RNA", at positions 28 to 507 of the family's 1533-position model. The record is from RNAcentral.